RNAcentral lists this ribosomal RNA (345 nucleotides) under Triticum aestivum (bread wheat). RNAcentral describes it as "partial small subunit ribosomal RNA". The record is from RNAcentral. Lineage: Eukaryota; Viridiplantae; Streptophyta; Magnoliopsida; Poales; Poaceae.
AUGCGACCUCGAUCCGGCGCUGCGGGACUUGGCGCAGCAAGUGCACACCGCCUCCCGUUUCUUCUUCGACACCGGAUGGCGGAGGCCAGAGCCGCCGGCCUCGUCGUUGUUUCGGCGCUUGCGGGCGAAGAAGCCGCCGCGCGGGCCACCUCCACCGCGGCACCCGAAGCCACCGCGGUCGCCGAACCCCCUUCCGCCACCACGCCCCGCACCGGCGGACGCCAUGGUAGCUUCGAUCCGGCGGAAAACAGGCCGCAAAAGGCUGCCGGAGCGCGCUCGAUUUCUCGCCGGAGUACACGAAAUGCGGCGGAGAGGGCUAGAGGAAAUGGAGGGCGGAUACCCUAA